Molecule: transfer RNA, 74 nt
Filed under: Gemmatimonadota bacterium
Lineage: Bacteria; Pseudomonadati; Gemmatimonadota
Description: Gemmatimonadetes bacterium (sediment metagenome) tRNA-Arg
Rfam family: tRNA
About the family: Transfer RNA (tRNA) molecules are approximately 80 nucleotides in length. Their secondary structure includes four short double-helical elements and three loops (D, anti-codon, and T loops).
Source: RNAcentral
GGGCUCUUAGCUCAAUUGGAUAGAGCAUCUGACUACGGAUCAGAAGGUUACAGGUUCGAGUCCUGUAGAGCCCG